Molecule: long non-coding RNA, 825 nt
Organism: Homalodisca vitripennis (glassy-winged sharpshooter)
Lineage: Eukaryota; Metazoa; Arthropoda; Insecta; Hemiptera; Cicadellidae
Exons: 2
Source: RefSeq, a predicted model, not a curated record
ACAGUUCAGAUGUUACUCUCAUAAAGUUGAAUCCGUACCUAGAAAUUCAACUGGUAGUAUUGGUUUAGGAUCUGAAUUUGAUUCAGAGGUAAUAAAUAAAUGUCUUAAACAAGAUAGGAUAUCACAGAAAACAAGCAAAUACCUUAAAAGAACAAAGUGUAAAAAACUGAACUCAUUGAAGAAUGAUUUAAAAAAUAAUCAUUCAUUGUUGACUUCAACAGUAAAAUGUAAUAAAAUCAGUACUGCCUCAAAAAGUAUUAAAGGCAAUUUAAGUGUCAAGAAAACAAAGAUUUGUAAAAGCAGAACUAAAUCAAAAUGUACAAUCUGGGAUUUGACUCCAAGAAUCAUGCUAAAAGAUAAACUAAUAGAGAGGAUACUUAAAGAAGACCCAAAUUUCUCAAUGCACUGCCCAGAAUAUAAUAACUGAUUUUAAUUCUUGACAAAGCCUUUAUAAAAUAAUUUCUACCUAAAAAUAAUUGAGGUUAGUGGACAAGAAAAGCUGGUGAAAAGUCAUGGCAUGUAACAUCUCGAAGAACCAAGUAAAGUUCCAGAGUACAAAACAUUGACAUUUAUAAAAGAUGAAGAACCGAAAAAUUGUGUUCCAUAAAUGUUUCUGGUGAUUUUUAGGAAGUAAGAUGUUAGUAAUGUUCUGAUUUAAGAAAGAAAAUUGUACAUUAAAGCCAAUUUGUUUGCAAAUCAAUAAUAUGAAACUCUGUUUUAGAAGUAAUAAUUCUUCUUAAUGUUAAUAUUUUUUAAAUGUAAGAUUGUUAUUUCUAUAUUUUUAAUUUUUUGUUUUCAGAAACAAAUAAAAGUUUUAUUUUGCAA